Molecule: ribosomal RNA, 327 nt
Filed under: Triticum aestivum (bread wheat)
Lineage: Eukaryota; Viridiplantae; Streptophyta; Magnoliopsida; Poales; Poaceae
Description: partial small subunit ribosomal RNA
Source: RNAcentral
AUGUGUCAAGCACGUACGAAGGUACAUGAUGGAUGCUUACAUGGAUGCACGGUGGCUCAUCAGGCAUCUCUUGGAUCUUCGUGCAUGGAGCCGUCUGAUGGCCCUUGUGGUCUCUUGGCGGCACACUUGAUCUUGAAGUGUGGUGACUCUUUGCUACAGUUGGCGGCGGCACACUUGAUCUUGAAGUGUGGUGACUCUUUGCUACAGUUGGCGCCAUGGCUCGCGUACGGAUGGGUUGUCAUCUACGAUUACAUCUUACACGGGCAGGGUUACAAGACCUCACGAUCCCAUGAAGGUUCGUGGCCGGCAACCAUGUCAUUGUUAUAG